GAUGAACGCUAGCGACAGGCUUAACACAUGCAAGUCGAGGGGCAGCGAUAGUUGUAGCAAUACAAUUAGUCGGCGACCGGCGCACGGGUGAGUAACACGUAUGCAACCUACCCAUAACAGGGGGAUAAGCGGAAGAAAUUCCGUCUAAUACCGCGUAACACAUAGUUGAGGCAUCUCGAUAAUGUAAAAGAUUUAUCGGUUAUGGAUGGGCAUGCGGCGCAUUAGCUAGUUGGCGGGGUAACGGCCCACCAAGGCGACGAUGCGUAGGGGUUCUGAGAGGAAGGUCCCCCACAUUGGUACUGAGACACGGACCAAACUCCUACGGGAGGCAGCAGUGAGGAAUAUUGGUCAAUGGGCGAGAGCCUGAACCAGCCAAGUAGCGUGCAGGACGACGGCCCUAUGGGUUGUAAACUGCUUUUAUAUGGGGAUAAAGUGAGUUACGUGUAGCUUAUUGCAGGUACCAUAUGAAUAAGGACCGGCUAAUUCCGUGCCAGCAGCCG
RNAcentral lists this ribosomal RNA (500 nucleotides) under uncultured bacterium. RNAcentral's name for it is "bacterial SSU rRNA". It matches the Rfam family "Bacterial small subunit ribosomal RNA", at positions 28 to 517 of the family's 1533-position model. The record is from RNAcentral.